ACCGCAGCAGAUAAAGCGCAUGCCUGUUCCUAAGCUGGCUGCUGCUGUCUUGUUACUUGGGUGACCAACAGGUAGAAGCACCUGUGUUUUGUGAAGGAGGAACUUUAUCCUUAGUGGUCUGUGGAAGUCAUUGCUGAAUGGUACUGGGUAAAAAUCACCCGUUCAGGGGAGUUCGUGUUCCCAUUGGAUUCUCCACACAAAAACCUAAUGAGUGUCUUGUACUGGGGAGAUUUCGAGAAAAAACGGCCUUAAAGUGUUAAGGAGCCCGGAUGUGAACGUGCCCCCGGUUCCAGAUGGGAAACUGAUUGUCAGUGUGCCCAGCCUUCUUCAUUCACACAAGCCGCCCCUUGCUGGUGCGUGUCUGUGAGACCCGGCUGUGAGGACUCGGAAAAUAUUCCCAGAGGGAUUGAAUUUCGUAUUGGAAUGGUCUGUAGGUUUGUGAGUUGGAUGCUUAAUAUUCUGAAGUGUGUAGAAAACUUCCCGUAGAACGUAUGAAAUAGAGCCCAUGUUAGUGUGUAUUACCUCAGCUGUCCUUCAGCAUCAUCUCUCAGGGUUUCUUUACUGUCCUUGUCCCUCCAGUAGUAUCCUGGGCCAAUGAAGGCUGUUGGGGUUCAGAGGAUGUAGUUCAGUGAGUGGCCUUGUUUGCCCUCAGGUUUAGGAUUCAGACCCAGCAUAAUAGAAGAGAUGUCUAGGAUCCCCUGAACAUGGUGAUUUUAUAUCUCCAGAAGGCAGGCUACCAUUGCAACAGGGGAAGGAAGCUGCUGAGGCUGCUGUUCCCUCAAGCUGGAGUGCUGAGCGUGGUGCUCCUCGCUCAGUGUAACCAGCAGCAAGGACAGUGUUAGCCAUGGGCAUUGGCUCACGUGAGUGUGAGUCCUGGCUGUGCAGUUCUGGCAGGUUCCCUCGGUCUUUUCCUUGCCACCCUCAUUCCCAGAGGGAGUAA
Arvicola amphibius (Eurasian water vole) is the source of this 940-nucleotide long non-coding RNA. RefSeq lists it as uncharacterized. The record is from RefSeq and is a predicted model, not a curated record. The transcript has 3 exons. Lineage: Eukaryota; Metazoa; Chordata; Mammalia; Rodentia; Cricetidae.